This is a long non-coding RNA of Brassica napus (rape), 1515 nucleotides long. RefSeq lists it as uncharacterized. The transcript has 3 exons. The record is from RefSeq and is a predicted model, not a curated record. NCBI's taxonomy places the organism in Eukaryota, Viridiplantae, Streptophyta, Magnoliopsida, Brassicales, Brassicaceae.
CUCAUUAGACCAUCUCCAAUGGAGUAUCUAAGAGGUAUCUAUGUCAUGGUUCUAUCUCAUUAUAUGCUGAAAAUUAAAUUAAAAAGAGUAAAAAUAGAUAGAUGUGGUUUUAAAAAUAGAACUUUUGGGAACCAUAUCUAAGUUGCAACGUGUCAAUUUCUCAUUUGUUAGUGUUUUAAAAAAAAAAAACCCACAAGGCCACAACGCUUCCUCAUUCCAAUCCUUCGCUUCGUUUCAAUUCGGAACCCUAAUUGGUGAAUUACCAAGGAUGGAGUUUGAUGGAGAAGACGGUAGAGGAAGGAGAUGGAUUGAACAUGAAGAAGGAAGAGAGCGGUAACGAGAAGAGCGACGGUGGAGAACGGUGGAGGCAAGAGAAGGGAUCGGGAGAACUCACGACUUCCACCGGUAAAACUAUAUGAGCUCCGGCUACUUUGAUUCUUGCUCCGACGGCUCUUCCGGUCUUCCAUUCAGGCUCAUGCCAGCACCAGAGGACUGAGGACCAUCACCACCAAACUCGAUGAACAAAAUCCACGGACAAUUGGAGCUCCGACAGUGGAGAUUAAAAACUUUUGUCCUUUGUUCCAGCCAUCUUUGAUCUGCUUGCAUGUACAGAGAGGUGAACUUUUCGUAUCAUGAAGCCAGAGAACAGAACCUAACUAACAAAGAUGGUCUCGUCCAUUACUAAUCUUGAAAGAGAUCCCAAACAGGGGAUGAUGAACAACGGAUGGUGUAUACUCAAGAAGAAUCUAGUUAAGCUAAUGGAGAAAGGAUGUAAUUGACAUGAGAAUUGUAUUCAUGUUACUUUAGCUUUGUGUUCAGUUGUCUUUUGAAUUGUAAUUUUGUUUAUGAUUUCUCAAUCUAUGUUAUAUGUUUUUAUGUCAAGUUAAUUUAAAUUUUAUGUAAUUUAUGUCAAAUUAAUUUAAAUUUUAUGUAAUUCAAUAAUUAUAAGUUUUUUUAAUUAUAGAAUGUGAUGCAAGUAAUCUAUUACUACAAGUUUUCAAAUUUUUGAAAAUUUUUAAUUGGUUCUAUCAUUGGCGGGGUUAAAACUAAACAAGUAUCUAAAAUUUUUAAUUUGAUUAUUUUUAAUUAAAAAUGAUUUAGAACUCUAAGACCAUAUCUAUUCUUGGAGAUGGUCUUAUGGACUUAUCUUUUUAUUUUGGAGAAAAUAAGGCAAAGACAGACACCUCACCUAUAAUUAGUAUUUAAUUGCUUUUAAAUCAUAAAGAUUACCUUAUUAUAAUAUAAGAUAUUUGACCAUAAAAUCAUACUGGUCUUAAAUUAAUAUGUAUUUUUGCGAAAAUGGUAAUUAAUUAAUGGAAGAUAACAACGUAUCCAUCCAGACCGAUCCUCCGGGCCAUGUCUUUAGAAUGACACAUGCAUAACUAGAUAAGCUAUGAUGUCAUCGUUAUAUUAGUUUAAGAAUCACGAUGUGUCACUCCCUUUAUGCAUGUAGUUAUAGAAAAUAUUAAUAUUUUGUAGCAUACUAGCAAGUAGCAACCUGAACAAAGCUUUCCA